RNAcentral lists this ribosomal RNA (497 nucleotides) under uncultured bacterium. Its description in RNAcentral is "partial 16S ribosomal RNA". It matches the Rfam family "Bacterial small subunit ribosomal RNA", at positions 28 to 507 of the family's 1533-position model. The record is from RNAcentral.
GAUGAACGCUGGCGGCGUGCCUAAUACAUGCCAGUCGAGCGAACGGACGAGAAGCUUGCUUCUCUGAUGUUAGCGGCGGACGGGUGAGUAACACGUGGAUAACCUACCUAUAAGACUGGGAUAACUUCGGGAAACCGUAGCUAAUACCGGAUAAUAUUUUGAACCGCAUGGUUCAAAAGUGAAAGACGGUCUUGCUGUCACUUAUAGAUGGAUCCGCGCUGCAUUAGCUAGUUGGUAAGGUAACGGCUUACCAAGGCAACGAUGCAUAGCCGACCUGAGAGGGUGAUCGGCCACACUGGAACUGAGACACGGUCCAGACGCCUACGGGAGGCAGCAGUAGGGAAUCUUCCGCAAUGGGCGAAAGCCUGACGGAGCAACGCCGCGUGAGUGAUGAAGGUCUUCGGAUCGUAAAACUCUGUUAUUAGGGAAGAACAUAUGUGUAAGUAACUGUGCACAUCUUGACGGUACCUAAUCAGAAAGCCACGGCUAACUACGUG